RNAcentral lists this ribosomal RNA (854 nucleotides) under uncultured Clostridia bacterium. Its description in RNAcentral is "bacterial SSU rRNA". It matches the Rfam family "Bacterial small subunit ribosomal RNA", at positions 34 to 896 of the family's 1533-position model. The record is from RNAcentral. Lineage: Bacteria; Bacillati; Bacillota; Clostridia.
CGCUGGCGGCGUGCAUAACACAUGCAAGUCGAACGAUGAAGCUUUUUUGAUUUCUUCGGAAUGAUUAAAAGUGGAUUAGUGGCGGACGGGUGAGUAACGCGUGAGUAACCUGCCUUAGAGAAGGGGAUAGCCUUUGGAAACGAAGAAUAAUACCCUAUGAAACCAUAACCUCGCAUGAGGCCUUGGUCAAAGAUUUAUCGCUCUAAGAUGGACUUGCGUCUGAUUAGUUAGUUGGUGGGGUAACGGCCUACCAAGACAGCGAUCAGUAGCCGGCUUGAGAGAGUGUACGGCCACAUUGGGACUGAGACACGGCCCAGACUCCUACGGGAGGCAGCAGUGGGGAAUUUUGCACAAUGGGGGAAACCCUGAUGCAGCGACGCCGCGUGAUUUAGAAGGCCUUCGGGUUGUAAAAAUCUUUUCUAUGGGAAGAAAAUGACAGUACCAUAGGAAUAAGGACCGGCUAAUUACGUGCCAGCAGCCGCGGUAAUACGUAAGGUCUGAGCGUUGUCCGGAAUCAUUGGGCGUAAAGGGUACGUAGGCGGGUAAGCAAGUUAGAAGUGAAAUCCUAUAGCUCAACUAUAGUAAGCUUUUAAAACUGCUCAUCUUGAGGUAUGGAAGGGAAAGUGGAAUUCCUAGUGUAGCGGUGAAAUGCGCAGAUAUUAGGAGGAAUACCGGUGGCGAAGGCGACUUUCUGGCCAUAACCUGACGCUGAGGUACGAAAGCGUGGGUAGCAAACAGGAUUAGAUACCCUGGUAGUCCACGCCGUAAACGAUGAGUGUUAGGUGUCUGGAGUAAAUCUGGGUGCCGCAGCUAACGCAUUAAACACUCCGCCUGGGAGUACGCGCGCAAGCGGA